Molecule: non-coding RNA, 575 nt
Organism: Plectropomus leopardus (leopard coralgrouper)
Lineage: Eukaryota; Metazoa; Chordata; Actinopteri; Perciformes; Serranidae
Source: RefSeq, a predicted model, not a curated record
AAAGCAGAUUUUCUCCUCCUGCAUACCUUAUAAAGUCUAUAUUUAGAAGUAAAAUUUGGGAUUAAACACACCGGAACCAACUUUUCGCUGGACAUUGUUAUAAUCCGAAUUUUUGGGUGAAACAAACAGAUUUAACGGGGAGUCGCUCUCCGGGCUAACUGCCGAUGUGAAGCUAGCUAACUGGAGAAGACGGUUGGAGUAACUUUCGGAAAUAAGGAGUAAAUAUGACAAAAAAGAGGGACAACACGGUGAAAGUGGACAAACAAAGCUACCCAGACUGACACACAAAACUGGAAUGGAAAAGAACAAACUGAUGCCUGAGGGUGGAGCUGUUGUAUCAGGAGACGGAUGAAGCACAGUUCUGGCCUGAUAGUUCCUGUACUCGGGCGACCGGCUGAUACUCGUGGCAUGCAGCAUUAAGACCUCAAAGGCUUCAAAGAGUCCAAGUCCCCCCCAGCACCACCUACAUCCAGUACAGAAAACUCUGACCAGACUCCAGAAGAAAAGGCUCCAAAAAUAUUCCAUUACUUGGACUCUUUAUAUUUGUUCAAUUUAAAAAUUCGGUAAAAUGUAUA